GCCCCGAUAGUGUAGUGGUAAGCAUGUUGGACUGUCACUCCAGCGACUCGGAUUCGAAUUCCGGUCGGGGCGCCA
RNAcentral lists this transfer RNA (75 nucleotides) under Promethearchaeum syntrophicum. RNAcentral describes it as "tRNA-Asp (GTC) (tRNA-Asp-GTC-1-1)". It matches the Rfam family "tRNA". From Rfam's summary of the family: Transfer RNA (tRNA) molecules are approximately 80 nucleotides in length. Lineage: Archaea; Promethearchaeati; Promethearchaeota; Promethearchaeia; Promethearchaeales; Promethearchaeaceae. The record is from RNAcentral.